Molecule: ribosomal RNA, 223 nt
Filed under: uncultured bacterium
Lineage: Bacteria
Description: partial 16S ribosomal RNA
Rfam family: Bacterial small subunit ribosomal RNA
Source: RNAcentral
UACGUAGGGGGCAAGCGUUGUCCGGAUUUACUGGGCGUAAAGAGCGCGUAGGCGGAAGCUUAAGCGGUACCUGAAAGCCCCCGGCUCAACCGGGGAAGGUGGCGCCGAACUGGGCUUCUUGAGGGCGAUAGAGGAAAGUGGAAUUCCGGGUGUAGCGGUGAAAUGCGUAGAUAUUCGGAGGAACACCAGUGGCGCGAGGCGGCUUCUGGGUCGGACCCUGACG